UUACAGGAACAGAUAAUAUCAAUUGUGUUUGUUUUUAUAAAUAUUUAGGAAUGUUUUCAUUGCUGACAUUCACGAUGGCAAGCUGGAGACAAGCAAAACAUUAACAGUCCGUUUUUCUGAGUUUGAUGCUUCUGUUCCGGGUAUUGUCAAUAAAGUAAAAGAUGCCCUGGGGCAAGAGGGCCCACUAAUCCUGACUGAUGGUCAAGGAAAGGAAAUCCUGGAUUCUGAAGGAACGAGAGGAUCAGCAUAUUGGAAACAGAAUGCGCGAAAAAUAUUCGCUGUGCCGCAAGAAGAAUUCCAGCACCUACAAGAAACUAAAAGAAGGAGAGUGAGUCGCCGAGAAGACACCGGUCUUCACGAUGUUUUGGACACUAUAGAAGAAGUUGUUCUUGUAGCCCAGGACCUUCAAGGUGUGUCCAGUAAGAUCAGAGAGCUCAUAGAGCUGACCAACUCCAACCGCAAGACACUGUCCCUGAUAGAUGCCCAAGUAGCAGCAAUUAGAGGUGCAUUUGCCUGCAUUAUUUGC
This is a non-coding RNA of Misgurnus anguillicaudatus (oriental weatherfish), 526 nucleotides long. Lineage: Eukaryota; Metazoa; Chordata; Actinopteri; Cypriniformes; Cobitidae. The record is from RefSeq and is a predicted model, not a curated record.